ACGGACUAUACAUGCAAGUCGAGCGGACAGAUGGGAGCUUGCUCCCUGAUGUAGCGGCGGACGGGUGAGUAACACGUGGGUAACCUGCCUGUAAGACUGGGAUAACUCCGGGAAACCGGGGCUAAUACCGGAUGCUUGAUUGAACCGCAUGGUUCAAUUAUAAAAGGUGGCUUUUAGCUACCACUUACAGAUGGACCCGCGGCGCAUUAGCUAGUUGGUGAGGUAACGGCUCACCAAGGCAACGAUGCGUAGCCACCUGAGAGGGUGAUCGGCCACACUGGGACUGAGACACGGCCCAACUCCUACGGGAGGCAGCAGUAGGGAAUCUUCCGCAAUGGACGAAAGUCUGACGGAGCAACGCCGCGUGAGUGAUGAAGGUUUUCGGAUCGUAAAACUCUGUUGUUAGGGAAGAACAAGUACCGUUCGAAUAGGGCGGUACCUUGACGGUACCUAACCAGAAAGCCACGGCUAACUACGUGCCAGCAGCCGCGGUAAUACGUAGGUGGCAAGCGUUGUCCGGAAUUAUUGGGCGUAAAGCGCGCGCAGGCGGUUUCUUAAGUCUGAUGUGAAAGCCCCCGGCUCAACCGGGGAGGGUCAUUGGAAACUGGGGAACUUGAGUGCAGAAGAGGAGAGUGGAAUUCCACGUGUAGCGGUGAAAUGCGUAGAGAUGUGGAGGAACACCAGUGGCGAAGGCGACUCUCUGGUCUGUAACUGACGCUGAGGCGCGAAAGCGUGGGGAGCGAACAGGAUUAGAUACCCUGGUAGUCCACGCCGUAAACGAUGAGUGCUAAGUGUUAGAGGGUUUCCGCCCUUUAGUGCUGCAGCAAACGCAUUAAGCACUCCGCCUGGGGAGUACGGUCGCAAGACUGAAACUCAAAGGAAUUGACGGGGGCCCGCACAAGCGGUGGAGCAUGUGGUUUAAUUCGAAGCAACGCGAAGAACCUUACCAGGUCUUGACAUCCUCUGACACCCUAGAGAUAGGGCUUCCCCUUCGGGGCAGAGUGACAGUGUGCAUGUGUCGUCAGCUCGUGUCGUGAGAUGUGGUAGUCCCGCACGAGCGCAUCCUUGGAUCUAGUGGCAGCAUCAGUGCACUCUAGUGACUGCGUGACCAUCGAAGCAGGUGGGAUGACGUUCAUC
Molecule: ribosomal RNA, 1137 nt
Filed under: Bacillus licheniformis
Lineage: Bacteria; Bacillati; Bacillota; Bacilli; Caryophanales; Bacillaceae
Description: bacterial SSU rRNA
Rfam family: Bacterial small subunit ribosomal RNA
Source: RNAcentral